This 798-nucleotide long non-coding RNA is filed under the name Mus pahari (shrew mouse). RNAcentral's name for it is "lncRNA (MGP_PahariEiJ_G0012461.1)". The record is from RNAcentral. Lineage: Eukaryota; Metazoa; Chordata; Mammalia; Rodentia; Muridae.
GUGAGACCAGGACAAUGGAUUACAUUAGAGAAGGGAAAGGUAAAGACUGAAAAUGCUUCUCUGAUGGGAAAGCAACUUCCUAUAUCCCACGAGCUCGUGUUACUAUAAUACUAAUACUAAUAGGACUCUGACAAUGCCCGGCGCGUAGCAGUUCCUGGUAGACAGGGUCACUGACAGGUGUCACGGGUCUGGUGGCUUGCAGGCAUAACACAACAGGAACAUUCGAAGCAGGAGUGGACGAGGAAACGGCAGAUUUGUCCGCUGUGAUGAUGGGAUUACCUAACUCUGUCACCAGACACCUCGGUGUCCCUCCCUUUACUGCCUCUCCAGCUACGCUCUCUACCAGCGUCUCCCAAGUCUGCCAUCGUUUUCACACCCAUGGAGGAUGAACUGGAAGUGCCAAGAAAAAUAACAGAGAAUCUUUGGAAGGAGAUAGAAACCGAAUUAAAUGAGGCUCCAUUCUGAAGAUUUUCUAAGCUCUCGGAUCCCAUCAUCACAAAGCAUCCAAAGAGAAAAGAUGGACUUCACUCUCCCUGUAUUAUAACAAAGAGCUCAGACUAGCCUCUUAUCAGUGCUUUGUCGUAUCAGAGUAAGUGACUCUAUAGACAUGCUCUGUUCACCUGCUUUCCCUCCUUGCUUCAACUUACUCCCCAUUGCCUAUGCACAUCCACUCCCCACGGCAAGAUGCAGUCAAGGACCACAUAAAGGAAGAUUUCUAUUUGAAUUUGCCAGAAGUGGAGCCGUUCUAAAGUUCACCAUAAAUGCUGGGCUGGAAGCCGUCCUGAUAACAUAGGUGUU